GUCUGCCGAACAGCGUGUCUCUGACCGAAGGUCACUGUUUGAUCGUCCCCGUCCAGCAUCACACAUCGGCCACGGGUCUGGACGAGGACAUCUGGAGCCAAAUACAGUGUCAUCAGGAGAGCAGCUGUUGUGCUGGGGUCAGAAGGACAGCACAGACGAGCUGAUGUUUUAUGAGGGUGUUUAACAGCACUGUCACAGAUCGCUCAGGGGUCACAGUGCUGCACAGACACAGACUGCCAGAGAUCUCCAUUGGAUUUACACUGGAGGCGUUCUCCAGUACAUGCCACACACAGGU
Carassius auratus (goldfish) is the source of this 295-nucleotide long non-coding RNA. RefSeq lists it as uncharacterized. The record is from RefSeq and is a predicted model, not a curated record. The transcript has 3 exons. NCBI's taxonomy places the organism in Eukaryota, Metazoa, Chordata, Actinopteri, Cypriniformes, Cyprinidae.